GUCGCCACGUAGCUAUAAUUUCGCCAAAAGAAAGAAAAUGUCUUUGGUUCGAGUAUUUUGCUUUUGACCGAAAAUCGACUUUGUCUCUACAGACUUAUUAUGUUCUUGUCGAAAAUUUCAGGUCUUUGAUAUAAGGUUGUUGCAUUGGAUGGUCGUUACAAAAUCAAUUUAAUUUUUGGCCUGCCACUGCUCUGGCGGUGUUGUGCAAUUUUGGUAUAUAUGUACCUUAUGGCUGAUUUGGGGCAAUUAACCACUUAAACGUGGCGUUUAAGUCAUAUGAUAUUUAAAGGUAUUCUAGUACAUCUGUCAGAAGAUCAAAUAAAUGCUCUGUGCCAAAAUAUUGGAGACAAAACCAAGUUACAAAGACCCAUCGACUCCUUGAAUACUUGACCUACUUGAAUAAGGAAAUGUCGAAACGUCUGGAUUUUUAGUAUUCUUGUUUCUAUAUUUUUAUUAAAACAAAAUUUGUAUUUUAUAACAUUUAUCACCACAAACUUUUGAAAUGUAACUUGUAGGUUGGUGUAUAUUGCCCAAAACGCCCAAAAUAUCUUAUCAAUAUCGUAGUAUUAUAUUUAUUUUGUGUCGU
Molecule: long non-coding RNA, 586 nt
Organism: Cylas formicarius (sweet potato weevil)
Lineage: Eukaryota; Metazoa; Arthropoda; Insecta; Coleoptera; Brentidae
Exons: 2
Source: RefSeq, a predicted model, not a curated record